Molecule: microRNA, 23 nt
Filed under: Pristionchus pacificus
Lineage: Eukaryota; Metazoa; Nematoda; Chromadorea; Rhabditida; Neodiplogasteridae
Description: ppc-miR-8252a-5p
Source: miRBase by way of RNAcentral
UCGGCUACUUUCGGGCACGUGUU